GCGCGGCAGCCGAGCGAGGGCCUCGGGGCGAAGCCGCGGGAGAGCCCGAGGGGGUGACGUCAUGCCCCGAGGCCCCCCCCUCCCGCGC
RNAcentral lists this microRNA precursor (88 nucleotides) under Oryza sativa (Asian cultivated rice). RNAcentral's name for it is "miR2907c stem-loop (osa-MIR2907c)". Lineage: Eukaryota; Viridiplantae; Streptophyta; Magnoliopsida; Poales; Poaceae. The record is from miRBase by way of RNAcentral.